RNAcentral lists this ribosomal RNA (429 nucleotides) under Gemmatimonadota bacterium. RNAcentral's name for it is "Gemmatimonadetes bacterium partial 16S ribosomal RNA". It matches the Rfam family "Bacterial small subunit ribosomal RNA", at positions 355 to 776 of the family's 1533-position model. Lineage: Bacteria; Pseudomonadati; Gemmatimonadota. The record is from RNAcentral.
UAGGGAAUCUUCGGCAAUGGACGAAAGUCUGACCGAGCAACGCCGCGUGAGUGAAGAAGGUUUUCGGAUCGUAAAACUCUGUUGUUAGAGAAGAACAAGGACGUUAGUAACUGAACGUCCCCUGACGGUAUCUAACCAGAAAGCCACGGCUAACUACGUGCCAGCAGCCGCGGUAAUACGUAGGUGGCAAGCGUUGUCCGGAUUUAUUGGGCGUAAAGCGAGCGCAGGCGGUUUCUUAAGUCUGAUGUGAAAGCCCCCGGCUCAACCGGGGAGGGUCAUUGGAAACUGGGAGACUUGAGUGCAGAAGAGGGGCGUGGAAUUCCAUGUGUAGCGGUGAAAUGCGUAGAUAUAUGGAGGAACACCAGUGGCGAAGGCGGCUCUCUGGUCUGUAACUGACGCUGAGGCUCGAAAGCGUGGGGAGCAAACAGG